AUGUCACUCGAAGAGGUAAGGGUACUGGGCCAGCAUCUGCUCCUCGAGUUCCGAAGUGGCUUCUUUUGGCCAAUACUUCAUACUCUUGACUGGUUGUAUGACUGGAGAAUAAACUCUCAAAUAAGCCUCUGGUGUGUAACAUUUAUCCACAAAUUGUUCAGCUUCUUGCCUAUUAUGGAAUAUAGCAGAAACUGCAUGCAUGCAGGGUAUUCCAUUGAGCUCCCACCUCCUGCAACUACAAGUUCUGGUCCACAAAUUCACAGAAUGUUGAUCAACUAAUGUGUCCCCCACUUGGAACAAUCCAUUGCCACAAUACAUUGGUCUAA
RNAcentral lists this long non-coding RNA (326 nucleotides) under Prunus dulcis (almond). RNAcentral describes it as "sRNA ncRNA". Lineage: Eukaryota; Viridiplantae; Streptophyta; Magnoliopsida; Rosales; Rosaceae. The record is from RNAcentral.